UGCUCCAUGAGAAUGUUUGAAUGAGUGUGGCAUAGUUGUUAUUGAUUCUUGGAAUUUGCAUUUGGGUUAAAGAACAUUAGUCUAUCGAUGAUUAUAGGUUCAUGAGAUUUAUCCCUGUGUCUGUGAAGAUAUUCCAGCCUAAAAAACAUCUGCUGUAAGCAUUGAGCAGAAGAAGAAGUUUCAAAGAAAGGUUUUGCUGCUUUCCAAGUUUCAACAUGAAAACAAUGUGCAGUUCAUUGGGGCGUGCAUAGAACCAAAGUUGAUGAUAAUAACUGAACUCAUAGAAGGCAAUACUCUUCAGAAGUUUAUGCUGAGUACUCAGUCCAGACUUUUGUUUUAGUUUGGUUCUGUUUUUUAUGAUCCUUGUUCUACGUAUCUUUGAUUGAGUUUGCAUUCAGUUUCAAACUUGAAUAUGAGUUGCAGGUUUUGUAUUUUAGUUUGAGUUGCAAGUUUUGUAUUUUA
Arabidopsis lyrata subsp. lyrata is the source of this 462-nucleotide long non-coding RNA. RefSeq lists it as uncharacterized. The record is from RefSeq and is a predicted model, not a curated record. The transcript is spliced from 2 exons. NCBI's taxonomy places the organism in Eukaryota, Viridiplantae, Streptophyta, Magnoliopsida, Brassicales, Brassicaceae.